RNAcentral lists this ribosomal RNA (690 nucleotides) under Rhodotypos scandens. RNAcentral describes it as "eukaryotic LSU rRNA". The stretch from base 288 to 443 matches the Rfam family "5.8S ribosomal RNA". Lineage: Eukaryota; Viridiplantae; Streptophyta; Magnoliopsida; Rosales; Rosaceae. The record is from RNAcentral.
GGAAGGAUCAUUGUCGAACCCUGCCCAGCAGAACAACCCGAGAACUAGUUUCAUUGUUGGGGGGCCGAGGGGCCUUGUGGCUCCUCGUCCCCUUAUCUCGGGAGCCGGUCGUCGCCCGUGCUCUCGAGUCCUUCGGGACUCUUGGCGCGUGCSCGGUCGUCCCUCCCGGGCGUACAAACGAACACCGGCGCGUAUUGUGCCAAGGAACUUGAAUGAAAGAGCGCGCCCCCGUCGCCCCGGAAACGGUGUGCGUGCGGCCGGCGUCGUCGUCUUCAAUAUGUCAAAACGACUCUCGGCAACGGAUAUCUCGGCUCUCGCAUCGAUGAAGAACGUAGCGAAAUGCGAUACUUGGUGUGAAUUGCAGAAUCCCGUGAACCAUCGAGUCUUUGAACGCAAGUUGCGCCCGAAGCCUUUAGGCCGAGGGCACGCCUGCCUGGGCGUCACACGUCGUUGCCCCCCUCACAGCUCUCUCGGGAAUGUGCGGGGGACGGAUGAUGGCCUCCCGUGCGCCUCGCCGCGCGGUUGGCAUAAAUACCAAGUCCUCGGCGGCGAACGCCACGACAAUCGGUGGUUGUGAGACCUCUGUGGCCCGUCGUGCGCGGACGUCGCGCUCCGGGGGCUCGUACAGCGCUUUGCUUCGGCGAUGCUUUCAACGCGACCCCAGGUCAGGCGGGGUUACCCGCUGAAUUU